AUUGAACGCUGGCGGCAGGCCUAACACAUGCAAGUCGAGCGCGAAAGUUCUUCGGAAUGAGUAAAGCGGCGGACGGGUGAGUAAUACAUGGGAGUCUGCCUGGUAGUGGGGGACAACGUUUCGAAAGGAACGCUAAUACCGCAUACGCCCUACGGGGGAAAGGGGGGAUCUUCGGACCUCUCGCUAUCAGAUGAGCCCAU
Molecule: ribosomal RNA, 200 nt
Filed under: uncultured bacterium
Lineage: Bacteria
Description: partial 16S ribosomal RNA
Rfam family: Bacterial small subunit ribosomal RNA
Source: RNAcentral